UAGCACAGUAAUCUAAGUUGUCUCUGUAGUAUAAAAAACAGAGCAGAGUGUUUUUGGGGUUCCUCAGUUGCAGUGAGAUGUGAGGCACUUGCAGAGACUCAGUCCACCACCCUGGGCAGCUUUCACCACCCUGGGCAGCUUUUCCGAGACGUAGGGACUGGCUUGCCGUAAUUCAUAGCUUCUGCUGUCCCUUGCUACAUACCUAUCCUAGAUGAAAAUGAGACCAGAAGAUGGAAGAAUCUGGAUCUCAAAAGACUCUCACUCUAUUACCCAGGCUGGAGUGCGGUGGCAUGAUCUCGGCUCACUGCAAACUCUGCCUCCCCAGUUCAAAUGAUUCUUCUGCCUUCUGCCUCAGCCUCCCAAAUAGCUGGAACUACAGCAAGGCCAACUUUUCUACCAGAUAACCCUGACCUCAUCCUGUCAGAAUUGAAUGGACCAAGAAUUGAGCUACCCUAAAAGGCCAGUUUUCUGGAAAUAGUUUGAAGAUACCGACUCAUGGUUAAAUGUUUCACAUUUACCCUCAGAAAUGAGUGCUACUGUUCAGAAACGGAGGUGCCCACUUUGCUUGUGGGAUUUAGGAGGAAAUGCCACACACUGUCAUAGAAAAAAUGGCGUCUCACUCUAUUGCCCAGGCUAGAGUACAAUAGUGCAAUCUUGGCUCACUGCAACCUCCCCCUCCCAGGUUCAAGCCAUUCUCCUGCCUCAGCCUCCCGAGUAGCUAGAACUACAAGCACGUGCACUGUACCCAGCUAAUUUUUUGUAUUUUUAGCAGAGACGGGGUUUCUCCAUGUUGGCCAGGCUGGUCUCGAACUCCUGACCUCAGGUAAUCCACCGCCUCAUCCUCCCAAAAUGCAUUAUCUCUUCCCAAAAUGCAUUAUCUAUUUCAUUAAGAAAAAGGAGAAAGCAACCAUGCUAAGCUUCAAAUAAAAGCAUGUGAGCACACCUGAUGACGCUAGACCCACUGGAAUCUCGCAUAACUCAUCCUGAACGUGUUGGGAAUCAAGUCUCUCAGGAUUAGCCCUGGUAAUCUGAAAGUCACCAGUCAUCAAGAAGUGGCAUCUCUACCAUGUGGUGCAAUCAUAGCCCUGAACUCAAAUUUCUGUCUGAUAUAUUUGAUGUGAUCCCUCCUUUUAUACCCUUUUAACUUCUGCUUGGAGAGACCCACUGACCUUGUAGCUGACUGUCAGAACUUUUCCUUGCCAGGCCAGCAAUAAAUUUGGCAUUGUUUUGGACAUUGA
RNAcentral lists this long non-coding RNA (1238 nucleotides) under Homo sapiens (human). Its description in RNAcentral is "HSALNT0368625". The record is from RNAcentral. Lineage: Eukaryota; Metazoa; Chordata; Mammalia; Primates; Hominidae.